This 164-nucleotide microRNA precursor is filed under the name Pelobates cultripes (western spadefoot toad). Lineage: Eukaryota; Metazoa; Chordata; Amphibia; Anura; Pelobatidae. The record is from RNAcentral.
GUCCGCCCCAUAUACGUCAUCAUUGAGUAAACUUUGACCCGGAACUUCACAGUCAGCAGACACUUCCUGGGAGGGAGGGUCUGCUGCUGAUUGGGUGGAAUAUGUCUGCUGGCUGUGAGGUUCCGGGUCAAAGUUUAAUCAAUGAUGACGUAUAGGGAGCGGAC